GAUGAACGCUGGCGGCAUGCCUAACACAUGCAAGUCGGACGGGAAGUGGUGGUUCGAGCGGCGGUCGGGCGAGUAACGCGUAAGAACCUGCCCUGGGGAUGGGAACAACAACUGGAAACGGUUGCUAAUAGGGCGUAGGCAGCGGAGCAAACGUGAGAACGCGCCCGAGGAGGGGCCUGAGCCUGAUUAGCUAGUUGGAGAGGUAAUAGCUUACCAAGGCGAUGAUCCGUAGCUGUUCCGAGAGGAUGAUCAGCCACACUGGGACUGGGACAAGGACCGGGCACCUACGGGAGGCAGCAGUGAGGAAUUUUCAGCAAUGGGCGAAGGGCUGACGGGGCAAUGCCGCGUGGAAGUAGAAGGCCCACGGGUCGAGAACUUCUUUUCUCGGAGAAGAAACAAUGACGGUAUCUGAAGAAUAAGCAUCGGCUAACUCUGUG
RNAcentral lists this ribosomal RNA (437 nucleotides) under uncultured bacterium. Its description in RNAcentral is "partial 16S ribosomal RNA". It matches the Rfam family "Bacterial small subunit ribosomal RNA", at positions 28 to 507 of the family's 1533-position model. The record is from RNAcentral.